This 2277-nucleotide long non-coding RNA is filed under the name Sus scrofa (pig). Its description in RNAcentral is "lncRNA (ENSSSCG00040013699.1)". The record is from RNAcentral. Lineage: Eukaryota; Metazoa; Chordata; Mammalia; Artiodactyla; Suidae.
ACCUGGGAAGCACGCAGGACGGACGGACGGGAUGAGUAAAGCUCAGGACCUCCGAGACGUCUCACUUUCACCAUUCAUUCGGGGCGCUGGGAGGCGGAGGCCUCAGCAUUUCCUAACUUAUUUUUUUAUGAAGCACUCGCCUCACCCAGUAGACUGAGAGUGUGCUCCCCGUUGACCUCGGCUCAGAAAGAAGGGAAGUCCGAUGCUAAGUUCCUCUUCCUCUACCACGGGCUCCACGCACCCCAAGACCCCCCGGGAGGUCCCGAUCCUCCUUCAGAACCGGAGCACAAGGACCGUCUUUCAUGCUCUUUUCUUGGUAGAACCUGACCUGUUGCAGAGCCAAGCACCCCGCCUCUGUCUUGGGCACGCGACAGUCAGCCCUCGGGAACUUAGGUCCAGCCCAGUAAUGGACUUGUUGGCAUCCCCUCAUCUCCCAGUUAUGAAUUCCUUGGGUCCCGUGUGUCUCUACGUUCCAGUUGGUAGCACCGAACGAGUCUGCUGAAUGGAUUUUCCCUUAGUUUGAAUCCCUGCCUGGUUUGGCCAUAAGAAAACAAAUACCAUUCACGGGGUGUGUGACAUAGACGCUGGUGCUCCCCAAUUAUUCCAUGAGAUCCUGCAUAUUUUCCAGCCUUCCUGGCACUUAGCAUGGGGCCAGGUGACGAAUUCAAGUUCACGGGCACAAGGGGGAGUGAAGCAAUGCACAGCAUUUGCCACCCGAGGACACCGAGGAGGUUGAAAGCUGCACGCAUCUGCCGCGGUGGCUGGAAGCGAAGAACACUGAGACGGCGAAGGGGCCACAGAGAGCAUCUCUAAUGCGCACCACUGCUGAAAGGCGGCCACCAGAGAGGACGGGCUGAGCUGUAUCGGACUGCUCCGAAAGUGACAAAUAAGCCUCUGGCUUUGGAGGUUUGCUGCCACAGCAAAACUUAGCUUUGCCCUGACCAACCACGGGUGAGUUUCACAAGCUGAAAGUGUAAGGAGGAGACAAGCUUGUGGAAUAUGACAGCAUCACUGGCUAGCAACAUCUUCUGAUAUCCUGGAAUUAGUCGGGAUGGGCCAUGGAUCUGGAUCUGAAACUUUUAAAUCGAAAUGGGGACAAGAGCAUCCCUAUGACGUCAUUGGAGAAUCUGAGGCAUAGAGAAGCGAAGGGAUGGGCUUCUCGGAUUAGGAGUGAGCGAAGCAUGAGAAGAGAGACCUCAAUUUCCCCUGGGCUGUUUCCCACCCUUCCUAGUUGGGAUUUCUCCUCCCCCAGCAUUUGUGCCCUUUGGGUUAGUAUUCUAGGCAUGAGACUGACCUAUUUCGAAGUGGGACAGGUUGGCAUCUCUAAAGCGGGUUCCACAGAAGACUCUGUUUUGAAGCAACAUGGUGGUAAAGAGGUUAACACUGAAUGGGAGUUUUACUUCCAGGCAGGGAUCUCGAGCCCUGGCGGAAAGACUGCAGCUGCCCUGUGGCCCAGAUAAUGCAACAUCGGGCUGAGCAAGGACAUCUGAGAACAUUCUGUUCUCCUCCCCCGAGACCAAUUAAAAUCUGGAGGCAUCUUUCUUGUUGAUCGAGCUGACUAACUAAUUGAAACGGAAUUGUGAUAUUUUCAUCAGCUUUCUCUUAUCCCUCUUGGCCUUGCCAGCAGAGAGCAAGCUGAAUGAUCAGAGAGUUUCAAGCAUGUGAGGCCCAGGGAACGGAACCCCUCCCACCGUAAACCACUACAUUACCACGGAACAAGGUUCGAAAAAGGAUGAUGCGGGGUUGGGAGUAGGGCGAUACGCUCAAAUCUCAGUCUCAGUUCAUCCAGAUACCAAAGAUACCAUCUUCGGGAUUCCUGAUGAACCAUAACGCUGUCCUUCAGCAGUUGCUGCUCCAAUAAACCAGCUUCUGACCUCUGCCUUCCUAACGAACAUCCCUCUGCCUGACUGGGGAAGCUCCUAGAAACAAAGAACCAAACGCCUCUGAGGCCCAACAAGAUCCCUUUCCUUCCAUUGAGCUAGAAUGUAUUUCCUCGGCACGUGCAAAUGGCCUAGUGGUUAAUCUUAGCAAUUGUCCCAAAGGACAUCCAAGCCUCUGAGAGUGGGUUACACGAUUGAGAUUGCAGGACCUUUUUCUGCUUCAGCAUGAAGACCUGCAUGUUAGCAUUUGUGAGGAGAGCUCAAAAUGGGGGGAAGUCCUCUUGGCUCCUGAUCUAAGGAAGAGCUGCGUUUUGAAGCGUUGGUAGAAUUGCUCACGUGUCCAGUGUGAGGUGGCCUUGGCUGACAAGCUAUCAAAAUAAAUAAAUAACAAGAAAAU